RNAcentral lists this ribosomal RNA (109 nucleotides) under Vreelandella aquamarina. RNAcentral's name for it is "partial 16S ribosomal RNA". It matches the Rfam family "Bacterial small subunit ribosomal RNA", at positions 1 to 104 of the family's 1533-position model. Lineage: Bacteria; Pseudomonadati; Pseudomonadota; Gammaproteobacteria; Oceanospirillales; Halomonadaceae. The record is from RNAcentral.
AAACUGAAGAGUUUGAUCAUGGCUCAGAUUGAACGCUGGCGGCAGGCCUAACACAUGCAAGUCGAGCGGUAACAGAUCCAGCUUGCUGGAUGCUGACGAGCGGCGGACG